GACGAACGCUGGCGGCGUGCUUAACACAUGCAAGUCGAACGGAAAGGCCCUGCUUUUGUGGGGUGCUCGAGUGGCGAACGGGUGAGUAACACGUGAGUAACCUGCCCUUGACUUUGGGAUAACUUCAGGAAACUGGGGCUAAUACCGGAUAGGAGCUCCUGCUGCAUGGUGGGGGUUGGAAAGUUUCGGCGGUUGGGGAUGGACUCGCGGCUUAUCAGCUUGUUGGUUGGGUAGUUGCUUACCAAGGCUUUGACGGGUAGCCGGCCUGAGAGGGUGAACGGCGACAUUGGGACUGAGAUACGGACCAGACGGCUACGGGAGGCAGCAGUGGGGAAUAUUGCACAAUGGGCGGAAGCCUGAUGCAGCAACGCCGCGUGCGGGAUGACGGCCUUCGGGUUGUAAACCGCUUUAGCCUGUGACGAAGCGUGAGUGACGGUAAUGGGUAAAGAAGCACCGGCUAACUACGUG
This 468-nucleotide ribosomal RNA is filed under the name uncultured bacterium. RNAcentral's name for it is "partial 16S ribosomal RNA". It matches the Rfam family "Bacterial small subunit ribosomal RNA", at positions 28 to 507 of the family's 1533-position model. The record is from RNAcentral.